CUUCUUGGAUAAAUAUGAAGUCGUGCCUGCCCACUGAAUUAUUAAUUGAAGGGCCGCGGUAUUUUGACCGUGCAAAGGUAGCAUAAUCAUUAGUCUUUUAAUUGAGGACUGGAAUGAAUGGUUUGACGAAAUAGUGACUGUCUUUUAGUAUAUUUUGAAUUUUACUUUUGAGUCAAAAGGCUUAAAUAAUAAUUGGGGACGAGAAGACCCUAUAGAUUUUUAUUUUUAAGGUUAUGUUUAAUAUAUUAGUGGUAAUAAUUAAUAUAACUUGAGGAAUUUCGUUGGGGUGACGUGAGAAUAGGAAAAACUUCUUUUUUUAAUUACUAUGAUUUUUGGUGUAUGGAUCCUUUAUUAUGGAUAUAAGAUUAAGAUACCUUAGGGAUAACAGCGUAAUUUUAUUUGAGAGUUCUUAUCGACAAUAAAGAUUGCGACCUCGAUGUUGGAUUAAGAUAACUUUAUGGUGCAGGAGCUAAUAAAGUUAGUCUGUUC
RNAcentral lists this ribosomal RNA (489 nucleotides) under Lerneca fuscipennis. RNAcentral describes it as "partial 16S ribosomal RNA". It matches the Rfam family "Bacterial large subunit ribosomal RNA", at positions 1833 to 2582 of the family's 2925-position model. The record is from RNAcentral. Lineage: Eukaryota; Metazoa; Arthropoda; Insecta; Orthoptera; Phalangopsidae.